This 459-nucleotide ribosomal RNA is filed under the name uncultured bacterium. RNAcentral's name for it is "partial 16S ribosomal RNA". It matches the Rfam family "Bacterial small subunit ribosomal RNA", at positions 338 to 795 of the family's 1533-position model. The record is from RNAcentral.
CCUACGGGCGACAGCAGUGAGGAAUAUUGGUCAAUGGGCGCGAGCCUGAACCAGCUAAGCCGCGUGAAGGAAGAAGGUACUUAGUAUUUUAAACUUCUUUUUUCGGGGAACAAAGGCGGAGACGCCUCUCCGGAUGAGUGUACCCGAAGAAAAAGCAUCGGCUAACUCCGUUCCAGCAGCCGCGGUAAUACGGAGGAUGCGAGCGGUAUCCGGAUUGAUGGGGUUAAAGGGGUGCGCAGGCGGGAGAUCAAGUCAGCGGUAAAAUGUCGGGGCGAAACCCCGGCCGGCCGUUGAAACUGGUUUUCUAGAGUGGGAGAGAAGUAUGCGGAAUUCGUGGUGUAGCGGUGAAAUGCAUAGAUAUCACGAAGAACACCGAUUGCGAAGGCAGCAUACCGGCUCCAUACUGACGCUGAGGCACGAAAGCGUGGGGAUCGAACAGGAUUAGAUACCCUUGUAGUC